GACAGAGGGUGCAAACGUUGUUCGGAAUUACUGGGCGUAAAGCGUGUGUAGGCGGCCAUGUAAGUCGGGUGCGAAAGCCCCGGGCUUAACCCGGGAAGUGCACUCGAUACUGCGUGGCUCGAGUAUCGGAGAGGUUGGUGGAAUUCUCGGUGUAGAGGUGAAAUUCGUAGAUAUCGAGAGGAACACCGGUGGCGAAGGCGGCCAACUGGACGAAUACUGACGCUGAGACACGAAAGCGUGGGGAGCAAACAGG
RNAcentral lists this ribosomal RNA (253 nucleotides) under uncultured bacterium. RNAcentral's name for it is "partial 16S ribosomal RNA". It matches the Rfam family "Bacterial small subunit ribosomal RNA", at positions 524 to 776 of the family's 1533-position model. The record is from RNAcentral.